UACGACUACAUAUCAGGCAUAUCAAUAAGCGGAGGAAAAGAAACUAACAAGGAUUCCCCUAGUAACGGCGAGUGAAGCGGGAAGAGCUCAAAUUUAAAAUCUUCAAGGUUUUACCUUGACGAAUUGUAGUUUAAAGAAGUGUUUUCUGUUGAAGUUUCGGUAAAAGUUCUUUGGAAUAGGACAUCAUAGAGGGUGAGAAUCCCGUAUUUGACCGUUAUUUUCAGCUGUGUGAUACACUUUCAAAGAGUCGGAUUGUUUGGGAAUGCAGUCCAAAAUGGGUGGUAAAUUUCAUCUAAAGCUAAAUAUUGGCGAGAGACCGAUAGCGAACAAGUACCGUGAGGGAAAGAUGAAAAGAACUUUGAAAAGAGAGUUAAACAGUACGUGAAAUUGUCAAAAGGGAAGCGUUUGACACCAGUGUUGUUUUUCCGAAAAUCAAUUACGAAUGUUUUAUUUUUGAGGAGUUAUGACUUCAUCGGCUUGCUCCUUUCUUUAUGAAACUUUCUUAAUGCACUUUUCGGUUAACAAGUCAACAUCAAUUUCUUUUGUUGUAAAAGGGUAUGAGGAAGGUGGCUUUCUUUUCGGAGAAAGUGUUUAUAGCCUUGUGCCUCUGCAAUCGGAGAGAUUGAGGUCUGCAGCGUAGAUCCUUCGGGGUUAGAUACGUUUGUGCUAAGUUAUAGCUUUUCAUAGACAACUUGUUGACUAUGUUUAGUCUUGUAGCUUACUCGCUGACGCUAUUUUACCUACGCUUAGGAUGUUGAACGCGCACAGAGUCUC
This 774-nucleotide ribosomal RNA is filed under the name uncultured Neocallimastigales. RNAcentral describes it as "partial large subunit ribosomal RNA". It matches the Rfam family "Eukaryotic large subunit ribosomal RNA", at positions 24 to 641 of the family's 3401-position model. Lineage: Eukaryota; Fungi; Neocallimastigomycota; Neocallimastigomycetes; Neocallimastigales. The record is from RNAcentral.